AGAGAAGAUGGCGGCGCUGGGGGAGCCUGUCCGGCUGGAGAGAGAUAUUUGCAGAGCAAUUGAGUUGUUGGAGAAACUACAAAGGAGUGGAGAGGUACCCCCACAGAAACUUCAAGCUUUACAAAGAGUCCUUCAGAGUGAGUUCUGCAAUGCUGUGAGGGAGGCAUACGAACAUGUCUAUGAGACUGUAGACAUCAGUAGCAGUCCUGAAGUGAGAGCUAAUGCAACCACAACGGCUACUGUCGCUGCAUUUGCUGCCAGUGAAGGACACUCUCAUCCUCGUGUUGUGGAGCUUCCAAAAACAGAAGAGGGCCUUGGAUUUACUAUCAUGGGAGGCAAAGAACAAAACUCUCCCAUCUAUAUAUCACGAAUAAUUCCGGGUGGAAUUGCUGAUAGACAUGGGGGCCUGAAAAGAGGAGAUCAACUACUUUCUGUGGACGGCGUGAGUGUUGAAUGAGAGCAUCACGAGAAAGCUGUAGAGCUGCUGAAGGCAGCCCAAGGAAAGGUU
Nannospalax galili (Upper Galilee mountains blind mole rat) is the source of this 508-nucleotide RNA transcript. It is a transcript of the gene named protein lin-7 homolog C pseudogene, with no coding region annotated. The transcript has a single exon. NCBI's taxonomy places the organism in Eukaryota, Metazoa, Chordata, Mammalia, Rodentia, Spalacidae. The record is from RefSeq and is a predicted model, not a curated record.